RNAcentral lists this ribosomal RNA (460 nucleotides) under uncultured bacterium. RNAcentral's name for it is "partial 16S ribosomal RNA". It matches the Rfam family "Bacterial small subunit ribosomal RNA", at positions 338 to 795 of the family's 1533-position model. The record is from RNAcentral.
CCUACGGGUGGCUGCAGUGAGGAAUAUUGGUCAAUGGACGAGAGUCUGAACCAGCCAAGUAGCGUGAAGGAUGACUGCCCUAUGGGUUGUAAACUUCUUUUAUAUGGGAAUAAAAUGUUCCACGUGUGGGAUUUUGUAUGUACCAUAUGAAUAAGGAUCGGCCAACUCCGUGCCAGCAGCCGCGGUAAUACGGAGGAUCCGAGCGUUAUCCGGAAUUAUUGGGUUUAAAGGGAGCGUAGGUGGAUUGUUAAGUCAGUUGUGAAAGUUUGCGGCUCAACCGUAAAAUUGCAGUUGAAACUGGCAGUCUUGAGUACAGUAGAGGUGGGCGGAAUUCGUGGUGUAGCGGUGAAAUGCUUAGAUAUCACGAAGAACUCCGAUUGCGAAGGCAGUUCACUGGACUGCAACUGACACUGAGGCUCGAAAGUGUGGGUAUCAAACAGGAUUAGAUACCCUUGUAGUC